This 454-nucleotide unclassified non-coding RNA is filed under the name uncultured fungus. RNAcentral describes it as "partial internal transcribed spacer 1". The record is from RNAcentral. Lineage: Eukaryota; Fungi.
GUCAUACAAAGCGCUAUGCUUAACGCUGAUAUUUUGUCCCACCACAAGGAGUGGAGAAUGUCUUCCAUAACAAUGACUGAUAAUAAAACGUUCCUGAAUGAGCUGGCCCGCCUGGUAGGCCAUUCUCACCUGCUGACAGACCCCGCCAAAACCGCCCGCUAUCGCAAGGGUUUCCGUUCCGGUCAGGGCGACGCGCUGGCCGUUGUUUUCCCGGGUUCAUUACUGGAACUGUGGCGUGUGCUCAACGCCUGCGUUAACGCUGACGAAAUUAUUCUGAUGCAGGCCGCCAACACCGGUCUGACGGAAGGCUCCACGCCGAACGGCAACGACUACGAUCGCGAUAUUGUGAUUAUCAGCACCCAGCGGCUGGAUAAGCUGCACUUACUGGAUAACGGCCAACAGGUUCUGGCCUGGCCCGGUACGACGCUCUAUGCGCUGGGAAAAGCGCUUAAAC